AUAAUAAAAAGUUGACUAGCCACACCUUCUUCUUCUCACUCUUCCUUUUACGCGAUUUCUGCUCGAAUAAAAUAAUCCCCAAUCGAUAUUUCCGUUCCAAGCUCGCCCCCGUUCCAAGCUCGUCGACCAAGCUCGUCUUCGCCAGUCGAUCUUCAAGAAACUAACCCUUGUUAACAUGUAAUGUUAUAUUCUAUUCUUUCGAUUUAUUUGGUAAGUUUGGUUGGAUAAGCUUGCUAGAUCACAGAUGUAAAAUUAGGGUUUAGGGUUACAUUAGUCAACCGGAAUUGGGGGUCUUAAUACGUGCAAUCCGUCCAUACUUUCGUAGGGGUUGUGAUAAGGGACAAUGGAUUUUUUCUUUGUCCGUCGUUCCCGUCUUGUACAGAGUUCUUUGUGAUUUUAUCACUCUUGAUUCGUAAGGAGUAAUUUUUGUGUCACCCUUACAGGAUGAGUAUCAUUCUAAUGUGUGGUUGCAACCUCCUGGAAAAACUGUACGCACUCGAGCUACCACCCGGUAAGUGUGAUGUCCCCUUUACCUACUACUUUGGGUGUUUGGGUGUCGCAAGUCCAACGGCGGUUGCGGAACAUUCAUGUGGUGCAAGGUCAAAAAUAAUAGGGAUUAUAAUGAUGACGAUGGAGUUCAUGUCUACGACUCCCUAGUUGUAACUAACGUACGGCUAGAUUAGAAGAGAAAGAACUUACAGGAGAAGAACAAGGACUUGAAGGACUGUAUUCAAGGCUUGGAGAACAGGAUUUUUCGACUUCACCUUGAUGAGGACGAUUUGUUCCUCGAUGACAGAGAUUGGUAAUAACCACAACCACGGAUGUCCCCGGUAGCUGCUGGAUGGUGUAGGGUUUCAUCGUGUCCUGUAGCAGGUUUGGAACAAAGACCCGGCGUAUGGUAAUAGGGUUUAGGGUCAUGUUUUUUAUCCUUCUUUGUUGAAGGUGUAGUAAUGUAUGGAACUGCUUGAAUUACACUAUGUCCAUGAAGUCUCUUAACACUCUUCGUAUGCUGAUUGUACUAUAGCUAACGUAUUGGUACUUAAUGUAAUGGUUCAACUUUGUUCAGGUUUGGUUGUGGUUGUGCUUUCUAUUUGUUUGGUGACAAUGGUAGUCUGUACUAGGGAUUAGUUCGAAUGUAAUAGAAAGGACACCUCUGCUUAUAGUAAGCUCAUUAUUGCCAUCCAUCUGUAUUGUCUCAGGCAUAUUAGGAACGAUGAUUAAGGUGUUCUAGUAACAUAAAAUGACCUGCAACAGAUGUCUCCGUAACAUAAAAUGACCAGCAGAAUCCUGCACAUGGACAGAAAAUUCGACUGAACCCAGUUCUAGCUAUUAACUUAUACAUGAUACGUCCUAUUACAACAA
Molecule: long non-coding RNA, 1362 nt
Filed under: Linum usitatissimum (flax)
Lineage: Eukaryota; Viridiplantae; Streptophyta; Magnoliopsida; Malpighiales; Linaceae
Description: long non-coding RNA (LUSI_LNC007344)
Source: RNAcentral